Molecule: ribosomal RNA, 200 nt
Filed under: uncultured bacterium
Lineage: Bacteria
Description: partial 16S ribosomal RNA
Rfam family: Bacterial small subunit ribosomal RNA
Source: RNAcentral
ACGCUCGACACCUACGGGGGCAGCAGUGGGGAAUAUUGGGCAAUGGGCGCAAGCCUGACCCAGCAACGCCGCGUGAAGGAAGAAGGCUUUCGGGUUGUAAACUUCUUUUGUCAGGGAACAGUAGAUGAGGGUACCUGACGAAUAAGCUCCGGCUAACUACGUGCCAGCAGCCGCGGUAAUCUGAGCGGGCGUGGCAAGGC